CGUAGGGAGCGAGGCGUUGUCCGAAGUUACUGGGCGUAAAGCGCGCGUAGGCGGGCUAUUAAGUGAGAAGGUGAAAGGCUGGGGCUCAACCUCAUGCAGUGCCUCUCAUACUGGUAGUCUUGAGGGCGGUAGAGAGAAGUGGAAUGGCUGGUGUAGCGGUGAAAUGCGUAGAUAUCAGUCGGAACACCGGUGGCGAAGGCGGCUUCUUGGGCCGUUCCUGACGCUGAUGCGCGAAAGCCAGGGGAGCGAACGGGAUUAGAUACCCCGGUAGUCCUGGCCGUAAACGAUGGAUACUAGGUGUCGGGGGUAUCGACCCCUCCCGGUGCCGCAGCUAACGCAAUAAGUAUCCCGCCGUGGGGGAGUACGGCCGCAAGGUUG
RNAcentral lists this ribosomal RNA (378 nucleotides) under uncultured organism. Its description in RNAcentral is "bacterial SSU rRNA". It matches the Rfam family "Bacterial small subunit ribosomal RNA", at positions 526 to 896 of the family's 1533-position model. The record is from RNAcentral.